UGGAUCCAGACUUUGAUUCUGGCUCAGGAUGAACGCUAGCUACAGGCUUAACACAUGCAAGUCGAGGGGAAACGAUAUUGGAAGCUUGCUUCCGAUAGGCGUCGACCGGCGCACGGGUGAGUAACGCGUAUCCAACCUGCCCACCACUUGGGGAUAACCUUGCGAAAGUAAGACUAAUACCCAAUGAUAUCUCUAGAAGACAUCUGAAAGGGAUUAAAGGUUCAUCGGUGAUGGAUGGGGAUGCGUCUGAUUAGCUUGUUGGCGGGGGUAACGGCCCACCAAGGCGACGAUCAGUAGGGGUUCUGAGAGGAAGGUCCCCCACAUUGGAACUGAGACACGGUCCAAACUCCUACGGGAGGCAGCAGUGAGGAAUAUUGGUCAAUGGACGAGAGUCUGAACCAGCCAAGUAGCGUGCAGGAUGACGGCCCUAUGGGUUGUAAACUGCUUUUAUAAGGGAAUAAAGUGAGUCUCGUGAGACUUUUUGCAUGUACCUUAUGAAUAAGGACCGGCUAAUUCCGUGCCAGCAGCCGCGGUAAUACGGAAGGUCCGGGCGUUAUCCGGAUUUAUUGGGUUUAAAGGGAGCGUAGGCCGGAGAUUAAGCGUGUUGUGAAAUGUAGACGCUCAACGUCUGCACUGCAGCGCGAACUGGUUUCCUUGAGUACGCACAAAGUGGGCGGAAUUCGUGGUGUAGCGGUGAAAUGCUUAGAUAUCACGAAGAACUCCGAUUGCGAAGGCAGCUCACUGGAGCGCAACUGACGCUGAAGCUCGAAAGUGCGGGUAUCGAACAGGAUUAGAUACCCUGGUAGUCCGCACGGUAAACGAUGGAUGCCCGCUGUUGGUCUGAAUAGGUCAGCGGCCAAGCGAAAGCAUUAAGCAUCCCACCUGGGGAGUACGCCGGCAACGGUGCAACUCAAAGGAAUUGACGGA
Molecule: ribosomal RNA, 927 nt
Filed under: uncultured Bacteroidota bacterium
Lineage: Bacteria; Pseudomonadati; Bacteroidota
Description: bacterial SSU rRNA
Rfam family: Bacterial small subunit ribosomal RNA
Source: RNAcentral